CAAUAGCGUAUAUUAAAGUUGUUGCAGUUAAGAAGCUCGUAGUUGGAUUUCUGGUUGAAGCGACCGGUCGGGCGUUGAUUCGUCUGCACUGGAGUCGGUUUUGGCCAUCCUCUAGGGAAGUGCGUCUGGUAUUAAGUUAUCGGGCGUAUGAUCCUGGUCUUUUACUGUGAAAAAAUUAGAGUGUUUAAAGCAGGCCUUCGCCUUGAAUACAUUAGCAUGGAAUAAUAAGAUAGGACUUUGGUCUAUUUUGUUGGUUUGCAGACCGAAGUAAUGAUUAAUAGGGAUAGUUGGGGGUAUUUAUAUUCCGAUGUCAGAGGUGAAAUUCUUAGAUUUUCGGAAGAUAAACUUAUGCGAAAGCAUUUACCAAGGAUGUUUUCAUUAA
This 382-nucleotide ribosomal RNA is filed under the name uncultured eukaryote. RNAcentral describes it as "partial 18S ribosomal RNA". It matches the Rfam family "Eukaryotic small subunit ribosomal RNA", at positions 592 to 976 of the family's 1831-position model. The record is from RNAcentral.